This 123-nucleotide small RNA is filed under the name Marmota monax (woodchuck). Lineage: Eukaryota; Metazoa; Chordata; Mammalia; Rodentia; Sciuridae. The record is from RNAcentral.
GCUGGGUGCAGUGACACACACCUGUAAUCCCAGCAACUCAGGGAGCUGAGGCAGGGGGAUUGCAAGUUCAAAGCCAGCUUCAGCAACUUAGGCCCUAAGCAACUUAGCAAGACCCUGUCUCAA